GACGAACGCUGGCGGCGUGCCUAAUACAUGCCAGUAGAACGCUGAAGGAGGAGCUUGCUUCUCUGGAUGAGUUGCGAACGGGUGAGUAACGCGUAGGUAACCUGCCUGGUAGCGGGGGAUAACUAUUGGAAACGAUAGCUAAUACCGCAUAAUAGUAGAUGUUGCAUGACAUUUGCUUAAAAGGUGCAAUUGCAUCACUACCAGAUGGACCUGCGUUGUAUUAGCUAGUUGGUGGGGUAACGGCUCACCAAGGCGACGAUACAUAGCCGACCUGAGAGGGUGAUCGGCCACACUGGGACUGAGACACGGCCCAGACUCCUACGGGAGGCAGCAGUAGGGAAUCUUCGGCAAUGGACGGAAGUCUGACCGAGCAACGCCGCGUGAGUGAAGAAGGUUUUCGGAUCGUAAAGCUCUGUUGUAAGAGAAGAACGAGUGUGAGAGUGGAAAGUUCACACUGUGACGGUAUCUUACCAGAAAGGGACGGCUAACUACGUG
RNAcentral lists this ribosomal RNA (495 nucleotides) under uncultured bacterium. RNAcentral describes it as "partial 16S ribosomal RNA". It matches the Rfam family "Bacterial small subunit ribosomal RNA", at positions 28 to 507 of the family's 1533-position model. The record is from RNAcentral.